AAAAAAGAGACAUUUUAAUUGGAUAAUAAAGUCAUACGAGGGACGAGUAAGGCCCCAAAGCAAUACAUUCUUGGCCAGUCAUGGACUGUUCAAGACACUGACUCAGAGCUCUGGGCCAAACCUCUGUCUUGAAUAUAUUUUAAUUAAAAUAUAAUGAAAUAUAUUUAAUUAAAAUGAAAAUGAUGAUUUAAACAUUUUUUUAAAAUUUACUUUUAAAAACAUUUUUGUCUUUUUUUAGGGCCGCACCUAUGGCAUAUGGAGGUUCCCAGGUGCAGCCCUAAAAAGAAAAAAAAGGAAAAAAAAAAGAAAAAGAGGGGUCUUGCAGAGACCACUGAUGAUGUGCCUUGAAUGGAAGAGGUUUCAUGAUAGAACUCAGAAGAAAAAGACACUGGGGUUCCCAUCGUGGCUCAGCGAGUUAAGAACCUGACCAGUAUCUGUGAGGAUAUGGGCUUGAUCCCUGGCCUCUCUUAGUGGGUUAGGGAUCUAGCAUCGACAUAGCUGCAGUGUAGGUCACAGAUGUGGCUCCGAUCUGGCGUUGCUGUGGCCGUGGCGUAGGCCAGCAGCUGAAGCUCUGAUUCGACUCCUAGCCUGGGCACUUCCAUAUGCUGCAGGUGCAGCCCUAAGAAGAAAAAAAAAGUCCAGCAUCCACUGAGAAUGUGUUUCCAUACAAAGUCUGCGCACACCUGAAGGACGAAGAGGGAGCACGCAGGCGUGGGAAGGAGAGCUGCAGUGCGGUAGAUGACAGCCUCAGGGCUCCGAAUACUCUUCACAAUUCUUCUUAACCUCCUUAGUAGCCCCUGGCCACCCUCGACUCUAUCGAUCCAGCCCUCAGGCGUCUAUGCAGACUGGGGCGUCCACUGCACACUUCUCUGCCCUCUGUCUGGCGAAUUCCCACACUUCUUUACAACUCAGCUUAAACACUGCCCCCCCCACCUCACCCCCCGGCAGGAGGCAUCCCCCUGCCUCCCAGAGCUGAUUCACUGCCUUUUCUUAUCUUUCCCAGACAACCAGUGAUGGCUCGAGCUGAGCCGCUUCAACACUAGUCUCUUCUUAGAAGCACAGCCUUUCAGGGAGUGGAGAGAAACACUGGGGCCGUGCCAGCCAAGGGAGGAAAGUCUGGCCUGGGAGAGGGGAGAGCUGGGGUGGACUGGACAGUGAAGGGGGUGAGGCCCCUGGGUGAUUUUUGCCUUGGCUUUCCCUUUCAAUUCCCUAGCCCAGCCCUGCCAAGCCAACCAAUUCUGUCAAAUCUUAUUUCUCAGGUGCCUGUGAUCCCAAGACACCGUGGUGCGGGAUUGCAACGCCACGGCCAUUCUUUGAGUGUUGGACCCAGGCAGGGAGGGAAGGCUUGGAUGUGAGCAAUGUCAGAUAACAGUGGCAGAAUAGAGUGAAAGACAGCAGAACAGGACAGCAGAAAAGGGAUGGCCUGUGGGCACUGAAUGGUCUGGGUGCAGGGGGCAGGUGCCUGCAGGGGCUGCAAAGGGAAGUCCUCUGAGAACCGGCCCAAUGUCCAGGAGGAUGCAGGCUGGAUGGGGAAGGGGGACUGCAUGCGAACGGUCCACGAGGAGCCCCCGGAUUGGAGGCCAGAACAGAAGAAAACAUCAGGGAGUCUGGGAGGGUUAUCAGGGCCAGAAUUUUGAGGCCCUCGCAAGCCAGGCAGAGGGACAGUGCUGGGAAAACGGCGGUGAGAAAUGCAGAAAGCCGUGCAGCUGAUGAGAGGUGUUUAGGGGGAAAUGGGUCUGGGGGCAGCCCUUCGGGAGGCUGAGGCAAAGAACCCAGUUAGUAAACUCCUCCGAAAUCACAGCCGGGCAGGAGGCACAUGGUACUAGAGUCUCACGUCGUGUCCCCCCCCCACCCCAGUCAGCACGACUGACAUCAGCAGCUCACUGGAGCACACUUGCCCCUGACUCCAGGUGCAACUCCAGAGGGUUUUUUAGGCCACUCUGGGCUCCUGGCAGCCCCUACCGAUCCAUCCAGGGUGAUGGGUCAAAUCUCCCCGCCUUGCGGGUUCGAUCAGUCAGGCGAUGUUAUGGGGCACUGACACGCAUCCUCAAAUUCCAGUGGCUUAAAGCGGUGAAGGUUCAUCGCUCAUUCAGGCUACCUGUCCAUCACAGUUGACCAGAGAUGGCUGUCAGUGCCAGCACCGUCCAGACAGACUGACAGGGCAGCCCCUAUACAGGGCACUGCUGGGCACCAAGGCAGGGGAGAGGGAGGGAGAGAGAGAGAUACAUCUCUGGAAGGUCUCUCACUAGCGUUUCAUAUGAAAGCCUGAAAAGGCAUAUCCCUCCGUAUGCCACUCAUUGGCCAGAACUGGUCACAGCAGGCAAGGCCGUGGAAUCUUAAUCUCCAAAAGGCAGAGAGUUAGAAAAAAUAAAAGAAAGGCCUGGAGUUCACAUUGUGGUUCAGCAGGUUAAAAACGCGACUGGUAUCCAUGAGGAUGCGGGUUUGAUCCCUGGCCUUGC
This 2459-nucleotide long non-coding RNA is filed under the name Sus scrofa (pig). RNAcentral describes it as "lncRNA (ENSSSCG00055014753.1)". The record is from RNAcentral. Lineage: Eukaryota; Metazoa; Chordata; Mammalia; Artiodactyla; Suidae.